GCCGUAGAACUCAAAAUGUCCGAAUGGGGCAACCCUAAAUAUUCCGCAAGGAAGGCAAACGCGGGGAACUGAAACAUCUAAGUACCCGCAAGGAAAAGAAAACAAUAGUGAUUCCCUAAGUAGUGGCGAGCGAACGGGGAGUAGCCCAAACCGAAUUUAUCAAGGUAAGUUCGGGGUUGUAGGACUGCAUUUAAUGAGACAUUCGAAGCUGAAGAACGUUGGAAAGCGACACUAUAGCAGGUGAUAGUCCUGUAGGCGAGAAUGGGUAAAUGAGCAGCAUCCUGAGUACCGCGGGGUCGGAGACGCCCUGUGGGAAUCAAGCGGCACCAUCCGCUAAGGCUAAAUACUCUUAAGUGACCGAUAGUGAACAAGUACUGUGAAGGAAAGGUGCAAAGAACCCUGAACAAGGGAGUGAAAUAGAACCUGAAACCAUACACCUACAAACAGUCGGAGCCACUUUAUGUGGUAACGGCGUGCCUUUU
This 482-nucleotide ribosomal RNA is filed under the name uncultured bacterium. RNAcentral's name for it is "bacterial LSU rRNA". It matches the Rfam family "Bacterial large subunit ribosomal RNA", at positions 95 to 609 of the family's 2925-position model. The record is from RNAcentral.